CCUACGGGCGGCAGCAGUGAGGAAUAUUGGUCAAUGGCCGGAAGGCUGAACCAGCCAAGUCGCGUGAGGGACGACUGCCCUAUGGGUUGUAAACCUCUUUUAUAAGGGAAGAAUAAAUGCUACGUGUAGCCUGAUGCCUGUACCUUAUGAAUAAGCAUCGGCUAACUCCGUGCCAGCAGCCGCGGUAAUACGGAGGCUGCGAGCGUUAUCCGGAUUUUGUGGGUUGAAAGGGUGCGUAGGCGGUUUUUUAAGUGAGUGGUUAAACGUCGGGGGUUCACCUUGAUUUGCCAUUAAUACUGUAAGGCUCGAGUUCAGACGAGGUAGGCGGAAUAAGUUAAGUAGCGGUGAAAUGCGUAGAUAUAACUUAGAACUCCGAUAGCGAAGGCAGCUUACCAGACUGCGACUGACGCUGAAGCACGAGAGCGUGGGUAGCGAACAGGAUUAGAUACCCGGGUAGUC
RNAcentral lists this ribosomal RNA (459 nucleotides) under uncultured bacterium. RNAcentral describes it as "partial 16S ribosomal RNA". It matches the Rfam family "Bacterial small subunit ribosomal RNA", at positions 338 to 795 of the family's 1533-position model. The record is from RNAcentral.